RNAcentral lists this ribosomal RNA (1415 nucleotides) under Staphylococcus sp. SCU-B242. RNAcentral's name for it is "bacterial SSU rRNA". It matches the Rfam family "Bacterial small subunit ribosomal RNA". Lineage: Bacteria; Bacillati; Bacillota; Bacilli; Caryophanales; Staphylococcaceae. The record is from RNAcentral.
UGCAGUCGAGCGAACAGAUAAGGAGCUUGCUCCUUUGACGUUAGCGGCGGACGGGUGAGUAACACGUGGGUAACCUACCUAUAAGACUGGGAUAACUUCGGGAAACCGGAGCUAAUACCGGAUAACAUUUGGAACCGCAUGGUUCUAAAGUGAAAGAUGGUUUUGCUAUCACUUAUAGAUGGACCCGCGCCGUAUUAGCUAGUUGGUAAGGUAACGGCUUACCAAGGCGACGAUACGUAGCCGACCUGAGAGGGUGAUCGGCCACACUGGAACUGAGACACGGUCCAGACUCCUACGGGAGGCAGCAGUAGGGAAUCUUCCGCAAUGGGCGAAAGCCUGACGGAGCAACGCCGCGUGAGUGAUGAAGGGUUUCGGCUCGUAAAACUCUGUUAUUAGGGAAGAACAAAUGUGUAAGUAACUGUGCACGUCUUGACGGUACCUAAUCAGAAAGCCACGGCUAACUACGUGCCAGCAGCCGCGGUAAUACGUAGGUGGCAAGCGUUAUCCGGAAUUAUUGGGCGUAAAGCGCGCGUAGGCGGUUUCUUAAGUCUGAUGUGAAAGCCCACGGCUCAACCGUGGAGGGUCAUUGGAAACUGGGAAACUUGAGUGCAGAAGAGGAAAGUGGAAUUCCAUGUGUAGCGGUGAAAUGCGCAGAGAUAUGGAGGAACACCAGUGGCGAAGGCGACUUUCUGGUCUGUAACUGACGCUGAUGUGCGAAAGCGUGGGGAUCAAACAGGAUUAGAUACCCUGGUAGUCCACGCCGUAAACGAUGAGUGCUAAGUGUUAGGGGGUUUCCGCCCCUUAGUGCUGCAGCUAACGCAUUAAGCACUCCGCCUGGGGAGUACGACCGCAAGGUUGAAACUCAAAGGAAUUGACGGGGACCCGCACAAGCGGUGGAGCAUGUGGUUUAAUUCGAAGCAACGCGAAGAACCUUACCAAAUCUUGACAUCCUUUGAAAACUCUAGAGAUAGAGCCUUCCCCUUCGGGGGACAAAGUGACAGGUGGUGCAUGGUUGUCGUCAGCUCGUGUCGUGAGAUGUUGGGUUAAGUCCCGCAACGAGCGCAACCCUUAAGCUUAGUUGCCAUCAUUAAGUUGGGCACUCUAGGUUGACUGCCGGUGACAAACCGGAGGAAGGUGGGGAUGACGUCAAAUCAUCAUGCCCCUUAUGAUUUGGGCUACACACGUGCUACAAUGGACAAUACAAAGGGCAGCUAAACCGCGAGGUCAUGCAAAUCCCAUAAAGUUGUUCUCAGUUCGGAUUGUAGUCUGCAACUCGACUACAUGAAGCUGGAAUCGCUAGUAAUCGUAGAUCAGCAUGCUACGGUGAAUACGUUCCCGGGUCUUGUACACACCGCCCGUCACACCACGAGAGUUUGUAACACCCGAAGCCGGUGGAGUAACCAUUUAUGGAGCUA